UACGUAGGGUGCGAGCGUUAAUCGGAUUUACUGGGCGUAAAGCGUGCGCAGGCGGUUUGUUAAGCGAGAUGUGAAAUCCCUGGGCUCAACCUAGGAAUUGCGCUUGUGACUGGCGGGCUCGAGUACGGUAGAGGGGGGUGGAAUUCCUGGUGUAGCAGUGAAAUGCGUAGAGAUCAGGAGGAACACCGAUGGCGAAGGCAGCCCCCUGGGCCUGUACUGACGCUCAUGCACGAAAGCGUGGGGAGCAAACAGG
RNAcentral lists this ribosomal RNA (253 nucleotides) under uncultured microorganism. RNAcentral's name for it is "partial 16S ribosomal RNA". It matches the Rfam family "Bacterial small subunit ribosomal RNA", at positions 524 to 776 of the family's 1533-position model. The record is from RNAcentral.